Molecule: ribosomal RNA, 1378 nt
Filed under: Lactiplantibacillus plantarum
Lineage: Bacteria; Bacillati; Bacillota; Bacilli; Lactobacillales; Lactobacillaceae
Description: bacterial SSU rRNA
Rfam family: Bacterial small subunit ribosomal RNA
Source: RNAcentral
GUGCUUGCAUCAUGCAUUUACAUUUGAGUGAGUGGCGAACUGGUGAGUAACACGUGGGAAACCUGCCCAGAAGCGGGGGAUAACACCUGGAAACAGAUGCUAAUACCGCAUAACAACUUGGACCGCAUGGUCCGAGCUUGAAAGAUGGCUUCGGCUAUCACUUUUGGAUGGUCCCGCGGCGUAUUAGCUAGAUGGUGGGGUAACGGCUCACCAUGGCAAUGAUACGUAGCCGACCUGAGAGGGUAAUCGGCCACAUUGGGACUGAGACACGGCCCAAACUCCUACGGGAGGCAGCAGUAGGGAAUCUUCCACAAUGGACGAAAGUCUGAUGGAGCAACGCCGCGUGAGUGAAGAAGGGUUUCGGCUCGUAAAACUCUGUUGUUAAAGAAGAACAUAUCUGAGAGUAACUGUUCAGGUAUUGACGGUAUUUAACCAGAAAGCCACGGCUAACUACGUGCCAGCAGCCGCGGUAAUACGUAGGUGGCAAGCGUUGUCCGGAUUUAUUGGGCGUAAAGCGAGCGCAGGCGGUUUUUUAAGUCUGAUGUGAAAGCCUUCGGCUCAACCGAAGAAGUGCAUCGGAAACUGGGAAACUUGAGUGCAGAAGAGGACAGUGGAACUCCAUGUGUAGCGGUGAAAUGCGUAGAUAUAUGGAAGAACACCAGUGGCGAAGGCGGCUGUCUGGUCUGUAACUGACGCUGAGGCUCGAAAGUAUGGGUAGCAAACAGGAUUAGAUACCCUGGUAGUCCAUACCGUAAACGAUGAAUGCUAAGUGUUGGAGGGUUUCCGCCCUUCAGUGCUGCAGCUAACGCAUUAAGCAUUCCGCCUGGGGAGUACGGCCGCAAGGCUGAAACUCAAAGGAAUUGACGGGGGCCCGCACAAGCGGUGGAGCAUGUGGUUUAAUUCGAAGCUACGCGAAGAACCUUACCAGGUCUUGACAUACUAUGCAAAUCUAAGAGAUUAGACGUUCCCUUCGGGGACAUGGAUACAGGUGGUGCAUGGUUGUCGUCAGCUCGUGUCGUGAGAUGUUGGGUUAAGUCCCGCAACGAGCGCAACCCUUAUUAUCAGUUGCCAGCAUUAAGUUGGGCACUCUGGUGAGACUGCCGGUGACAAACCGGAGGAAGGUGGGGAUGACGUCAAAUCAUCAUGCCCCUUAUGACCUGGGCUACACACGUGCUACAAUGGAUGGUACAACGAGUUGCGAACUCGCGAGAGUAAGCUAAUCUCUUAAAGCCAUUCUCAGUUCGGAUUGUAGGCUGCAACUCGCCUACAUGAAGUCGGAAUCGCUAGUAAUCGCGGAUCAGCAUGCCGCGGUGAAUACGUUCCCGGGCCUUGUACACACCGCCCGUCACACCAUGAGAGUUUGUAACACCCAAAGUGC